GUGAAAGAUGAUCGCGGCUAUCUGGGUGAUAGACGAGGAAAGUCCGAGCUCCAUAGGGCAGAAUGCCGGAUAACAUCCGGCGAGGGCGACCUCAGGGAAAGUGCCACAGAAAUGUGAACCGCCGGUUUCGGCCGGUAAGGGUGGAACGGUGCGGUAAGAGCGCACCAGCAAUCGAGUAAUCGAUUGGCUAGGUAAACCCCAUUCGGAGCAAGACCAAAUAGGGAAGGGAUGAAGCGGCCCGCUGAGCCUUCCGGGUUGUGUCGCUGGAGCUUUUAGGUAACUGAAAGCCUAGAUAAAUGAUUGUCACCGCUUAGCGGAACAGAACUCGGCUUAUUGAAC
This 339-nucleotide RNase P RNA is filed under the name chicken gut metagenome. Its description in RNAcentral is "Bacterial RNase P class A". It matches the Rfam family "Bacterial RNase P class A". From Rfam's summary of the family: Ribonuclease P (RNase P) is a ubiquitous endoribonuclease, found in archaea, bacteria and eukarya as well as chloroplasts and mitochondria. Its best characterised activity is the generation of mature 5'-ends of tRNAs by cleaving the 5'-leader elements of precursor-tRNAs. The record is from RNAcentral.